RNAcentral lists this ribosomal RNA (468 nucleotides) under uncultured bacterium. Its description in RNAcentral is "partial 16S ribosomal RNA". It matches the Rfam family "Bacterial small subunit ribosomal RNA", at positions 28 to 507 of the family's 1533-position model. The record is from RNAcentral.
GACGAACGCUGGCGGCGUGCUUAACACAUGCAAGUCGAACGGAAAGGCCCUGCUUUUGUGGGGUGCUCGAGUGGCGAACGGGUGAGUAACACGUGAGUAACCUGCCCUUGACUUUGGGAUAACUUCAGGAAACUGGGGCUAAUACCGGAUAGGAGCUCCUGCUGCAUGGUGGGGGUUGGAACGUUUCGGCGGUUGGGGAUGGACUCGCGGCUUAUCAGCUUGUUGGUGGGGUAGUGGCUUACCAAGGCUUUGACGGGUAGCCGGCCUGAGAGGGUGACCGGCCACAUUAGGACUGAGAUACGGCCCAGACUGCUACGGGAGGCAGCAGUGGGGAAUAUUGCACAAUGGGCGGAAGCCUGAUGCAGAAACGCCGCGUGCGGGAUGACGGCCUUCGGGUUGUAAACCGCUUUCGCCUGUGACGAAGCGUGAGUGACGGUAAUGGGUAAAGAAGCACCGGCUAACUACAUG